This 72-nucleotide transfer RNA is filed under the name Ictidomys tridecemlineatus (thirteen-lined ground squirrel). RNAcentral describes it as "Spermophilus tridecemlineatus (thirteen-lined ground squirrel) tRNA". It matches the Rfam family "tRNA". Rfam says of the family: Transfer RNA (tRNA) molecules are approximately 80 nucleotides in length. The record is from Rfam by way of RNAcentral. Lineage: Eukaryota; Metazoa; Chordata; Mammalia; Rodentia; Sciuridae.
GGGGAUAUAGCUAAGCAGUAGAAUGCUUGCCUCAGAUGCACAUGUACCUGGGUUCGAUACCCAGCAUCUCCC